GAUGAACGCUGGCGGCGUGCCUAAUACAUGCAAGUCGAGCGAACGGACGAGAAGCUUGCUUCUCUGAUGUUAGCGGCGGACGGGUGAGUAACACGUGGAUAACCUACCUAUAAGACUGGGAUAACUUCGGGAAACCGGAGCUAAUACCGGAUGAUAUUUUGACCCGCUUGGUUCAAAGUUAAAAGACGGUCUUCCUGUACCUUAUGAUUGGUUCCGCGCGGCAUUAGCUAGUUGGUAAGUUACCGGCUUACCAAGGCAACGAUGCAUAGCCGACCUGAGAGGGUGAUCGGCCACACUGGAACUGAGACACGGUCCAGACUCCUACGGGAGGCAGCAGUAGGGAAUCUUCCGCAAUGGGCGAAAGCCUGACGGAGCAACGCCGCGUGAGUGAUGAAGGUCUUCGGAUCGUAAAACUCUGUUAUUAGGGAAGAACAUAUGUGUAAGUAACUGUGCACAUCUUGACGGUACCUAAUCAGAAAGCCACGGCUAACUACGUG
RNAcentral lists this ribosomal RNA (497 nucleotides) under uncultured bacterium. RNAcentral describes it as "partial 16S ribosomal RNA". It matches the Rfam family "Bacterial small subunit ribosomal RNA", at positions 28 to 507 of the family's 1533-position model. The record is from RNAcentral.